ACUAAUGUAUUUCUGGGGCUUUAGGAGCAAGUCUUCAGCAGUCUGUGAAGAGACUUUAAAGGCCAAGAGGAUUAGGACUAAGGAAAAACAGUUGGGCUAGACAUUGCUGGAAGGAGAUGUGACUGCAAUGGAAAGCAGAGACUAAAGUCUGCUUUUUACCCCAUGGCACAUUGAAAUGCAUUCCAAAGACAAUACACUUUGCUCUAAUUAAAACAUGGAAUUAUUUUUCUUCCUGAAGCAUUAUCACAGCCAUUGUGAUAUCUGCAACUUUUGCAGCUGAUGAACACUCCGAAGGAAAUGCUUAUAUUAGGUUAGAAGAUGUGAUUCUGAAAACUCCCCAAAUCUGAGAUAAACUCUCCCAGCCUAAAGGAACAUGUACAUCCUGGAUCCUGUAAUUAGAUGUGAGCUCAGUGCUUCCUCGUUCAAAAACACCUGAGAGCAGUGAAUCUCUCAUAACAUUCCAUGAAGAAGACUUCUAAGACUCACCUCACUCAAUAAUGACAUAAAAAUGAUUUGUAUGCAAUGUACACUACCCAAAAUAUUAAUCUGAGAAACUUACUUGUGCUGAUACGAUCAGACUUGCUGCUUUUGGGGGCUGGCCUUUCACACUGUGUGCCUGACCAGUUGGCGGAGCAUCUAAAAAUAUCCAAACAACAACAAAAUAGAUCAGUGAAUAACAAAGCCCACAAGUUUGCUAAUGUAGUAAUUUUAAUCAAAUGAAAUGUUAUAGGAGCCAGGCAUUACAAAUUGAUGAAAUUAGGUAGGAAUUUCUGCUAAUUUCUUGCAUAUUUUUAGUAUGCUGUGUGUAACUUUCAUUGGACUUUGUUAAAAUACUUUUUAAAAUUUAAGUUUAUAGUUAUUUUACUUAUUCUGCAUUAAACUUAAAAUUGACAUAUUUCAUAGCAGUAUUAAAAUCUUGAUGAAUUGGAACUUAAUUUGAGAGUUAUGGAAAAUUACAAGUGGCCACUUACAAAAAUUGAGUUUGCAUAUUAAACAAAUCCUUCUGUAAGUUUUUGUGAUUUGUUUUUCUGGUUGUUCUAAGUCCAAAGUGGAACUAAGUACCAAAAGGCCAAUAGUCGUCUGUCUCCUAGUUCAAGCUGUAGAAUUUUUACUCUCUUAACCAGAGAUAACAAAAUGCAGUGCUUUCCCAUUUUAAAUCGCACUUCUAUUAAUAUGAAGUCAAGAGAAUGUGCCCAAAUUUUUGUCGGGAGGAGUUGUUUUCCCAUAUAAGUACUACGACACUAUGAUAAGAAGUAGCAGAAGACAAGAAUAAUAGAUCUGAUUAAAAGUUAUUAUUUCAACAGAAAUUGCAACUAUGAAAUUAGCUAGUUGCAUCAAAAUAAAUGCUGGAACAGUUUUAGUUGUGUUUAAACAAUGUCUAUUGGCUAACAUAAGAUGCCUCUGUGCAUCUGUCAUAGGAAAUCCACAGAGAAACAAUUUAAUUGGCUUCAGUUCAUAGUUAAAAUGACUGUCAAAUACCAAUAUAUCAAGAAUAGUGUACACAAUAAAAAAAACAGCUUCCAGAACCAUUCUAAGUGAAUCUCUCUGAGCAUGGUGGGCCAAACUAAAUAACUGCAAUUUCAAUGUCUCUGCCAAUUCUUGGAUAGCCAAUUUUGAUAUCUGAUGAUUCUUCAGGAACUGAGCUUCUAUGAUGCCACACAAAUUAUUUGUGAUAGUGAUAAAAACAGUAUUGGCUGUCCUAAAUCAUGGGCAAAUUCUCACAAAAUCAUUAUUACUGACAAAGUCAAAUAAUAAAUAUAAAAAUAUGUUUCAAAUAAGCAUAUAUAAACUUGAACAUAAAUUGGCAAUGAGGUUACUGUUAGAUAAAAGAGUUAUUUAGUUAAUAAUGAUAAAUUUAAAACUAUGAUUAUGGAGCAUGAUUUAAAUGAAAAUUAAUAAAUUAUUAAUAUUAUAAAUCAGGUCAUGACUCGUGCAUUAGCCCAAUUUUUUGUUGUUACGUUAUAAAAAGCUUAAACAUUACAUAAUUUUCUAUACAUCAUGUUUAUUAUAAACCAUAAUGCAAGUAAAUUAUUAACAUAGAUAAAUACAUUUAAGGCUAAGUCUACAACACUGUAUACUAAAGUGAAGUAAUAAAAUGAGCACAUUUUCAAAUUAUUAGAAUAAAGUGAACAACAAAUGAAA
Molecule: long non-coding RNA, 2142 nt
Organism: Cebus imitator (Panamanian white-faced capuchin)
Lineage: Eukaryota; Metazoa; Chordata; Mammalia; Primates; Cebidae
Exons: 2
Source: RefSeq, a predicted model, not a curated record